AGCGUCUCCAGCCAUGCAGCGUGUGUGAAGAGGCCCUAGGGUGUAAAGCACUUUCAGCAGGGAGGAAAAGCUGUAGGUUAAUACCCGUCAGUGUGACGUUACAUGCAGAAGAAGCACCGGCUAACUCUGUGCCAGCAGACGCGGUAAUACGGAGGGUGCAAGCGUUAAUUCGAAUUUCUGGGCGUAAAGGGCGUGUAGGCGGUGUGAUAAGCGUGUUGUGAAAGCCCCGGGCUCUACCUGGGAAUUGCAAUCCGAACUAUCAGGCUAGAGUGCAGCAGAGGGCAGUGGAAUUUCCGGUGUAGCGGUGAAAUGCGUAGAUAUCGGGAGGAACACCAGUGGCGAAGGCGACUGCCUGGGCUGACACUGACGCUGAGGUGCGAAAGCGUGGGUAGCAAACAGGAUUAGAUACCCUGGUAGUCCACGCCGUAAACGUUGAGAACUAGUCGUUGGGGCUAGUGAAGCGUCAGUGACGCAGCUAACGCGAUAAGUCUCCGCCUGGGGAGU
This 504-nucleotide ribosomal RNA is filed under the name uncultured Gammaproteobacteria bacterium. RNAcentral describes it as "bacterial SSU rRNA". It matches the Rfam family "Bacterial small subunit ribosomal RNA", at positions 380 to 881 of the family's 1533-position model. Lineage: Bacteria; Pseudomonadati; Pseudomonadota; Gammaproteobacteria. The record is from RNAcentral.